Molecule: long non-coding RNA, 259 nt
Filed under: Elaeis guineensis (African oil palm)
Lineage: Eukaryota; Viridiplantae; Streptophyta; Magnoliopsida; Arecales; Arecaceae
Description: long non-coding RNA (EGUI_LNC039783)
Source: RNAcentral
UGGGGUUCAUUAUAAUCUUAAAAAUAAUAAUAAGAUACAGCAUGAAAUAUUAAUUAAGGACUUGCACCAUAAUUCAAAUGAUCCAAAACCUUAGACACCCAACAAUUGGAGUCCAAUGAAUCUAAUUCAUUUAGAUUAUUAGCAAGUAAUUAAGUUUAAAUUAUCUUAUCAAAUAAAAAAUCCAAACAGAAAGAGAAAAUUGGGUCCAACUAUGUGCUAGCGAGAUUAUCUUGAUCCCAAUCGGAUUUCUCUAAACCCA